This 520-nucleotide ribosomal RNA is filed under the name uncultured bacterium. Its description in RNAcentral is "bacterial SSU rRNA". It matches the Rfam family "Archaeal small subunit ribosomal RNA", at positions 345 to 866 of the family's 1478-position model. The record is from RNAcentral.
AACCUCCGCAAUGUGAGAAAUCGCGACGGGGGGAUCCCAAGUGCCAUUCUUAACGGGAUGGCUUUUCUUAAGUGUAAAAAGCUUUUGGAAUAAGAGCUGGGCAAGACCGGUGCCAGCCGCCGCGGUAACACCGGCAGCUCUAGUGGUAGCUGUUUUUAUUGGGCCUAAAGCGUCCGUAGCCGGUUUAAUAAGUCUCUGGUGAAAUCCUGCAGCUUAACUGUGGGAAUUGCUGGAGAUACUAUUAGACUUGAGACCGGGAGAGGUUAGAGGUACUUCCAGGGUAGAGGUGAAAUUCUGUAAUCCUGGGAGGACCGCCUGUUGCGAAGGCGUCUAACUGGAACGGUUCUGACGGUGAGGGACGAAAGUUAGGGGCGCGAACCGGAUUCGAUACCCGGGUAGUCCUAACUGUAAACGAUGCGGACUUGGUGUUGGGGUGGCUUUGAGCUGCUUCAGUGCCGAAGGAAGCUGUUAAGUCCGCCGCCUGGGAAGUACGGUCGCAAGACUAGAACUUAAAGGAAUU